Long non-coding RNA from Gymnodraco acuticeps, 488 nucleotides. RefSeq lists it as uncharacterized. The transcript is spliced from 3 exons. The record is from RefSeq and is a predicted model, not a curated record. NCBI's taxonomy places the organism in Eukaryota, Metazoa, Chordata, Actinopteri, Perciformes, Bathydraconidae.
UAAUACACAAAUAAAUAAAUAAAAUAAUAAAUAAAUGAGGGUUACUAUGUCAGAUAUUUGAAGGACCCCCAGACCCAGAUUGGCCAUUCUACGGUUUGCAUUAGACCAAUGCAAAGAACCCUGAAUUUGGACCCUGCAUGUCGAUCAGAAGGCGACAACGUGUUAAUUGGACCAAAUCAGAAAUGUGUCAUCUGUGGAGAGGAGUUCCCCUUUUCCAGAAUCAAGGAUCACAGCAAUAACUGCAUGAGACCAUCACAGAGCAGCGGUGAGGUACGGAUUGAGUUGACAACUGAAAGGGCCUCCGGAAGUCAAGUUAGAUUUGAAAGCACGUUCACAGGAGCACAGGGAAAUGAGACAACAAGGGCCAGGAACACAAGACACUCGGUGCCACCUCAGGAAAUGUUGCCUUCUCCUGAGGUAGUUGACAUCGAUCCCACUGAGGAAAGUGGCUUCUCUGGUGUGUAACAUCCUUUAUUAAGUACAUCAUG